UACAGCCAUAUCACGUUGAUACACCGGUUCUCGUACGAUCACCGAAGUUAAGCAACGCCGAGUUUGGUCAGUACUUUGACGGGUGACUGCUUUGGAAUACCAUGUUCUGUA
Non-coding RNA from Acanthosepion pharaonis, 111 nucleotides. The record is from the annotation of a GenBank genome assembly. NCBI's taxonomy places the organism in Eukaryota, Metazoa, Mollusca, Cephalopoda, Sepiida, Sepiidae.